Molecule: ribosomal RNA, 420 nt
Filed under: Fusobacteriota bacterium
Lineage: Bacteria; Fusobacteriati; Fusobacteriota
Description: Fusobacteria bacterium partial 16S ribosomal RNA
Rfam family: Bacterial small subunit ribosomal RNA
Source: RNAcentral
UGGGGGAUAUUGCACAAUGGGCGAAAGCCUGAUGCAGCGACGCCGCGUGGGGGAUGAAGGCCUUCGGGUUGUAAACUUCUUUUGCUCUGAACAAGGCAUGCCUUUGGGGUGUGUUGAGUGUAGGGGUUGAUUAGCGCCGGCUAACUACGUGCCAGCAGCCGCGGUAAUACGUAGGGCGCGAGCGUUGUCCGGAAUUAUUGGGCGUAAAGGGCUUGUAGGUGGCUGGUUGCGUCUGUCGUGAAAGCUCAUGGCUUAACUGUGGGUUUGCGGUGGGUACGGGCUGGCUUGAGUGCAGUAGGGGAGGCUUGAAUUCCUGGUGUAGCGGUGGAAUGCGCAGAUAUCAGGAGGAAUACCGGUGGCGAAGGCGGGUCUCUGGGCUGUUACUGACGCUGAGGAGCGAAAGCGUGGGGAGCGAACAGG